Molecule: unclassified non-coding RNA, 540 nt
Filed under: Hevea brasiliensis (rubber tree)
Lineage: Eukaryota; Viridiplantae; Streptophyta; Magnoliopsida; Malpighiales; Euphorbiaceae
Source: RNAcentral
UUUUUCUCCUGUGUCACAUAAUCUAGGGUUUGCAGAAAUCUGUACCACUAGAUCCAGAAGCGUGUGUAAUCCUAAAUUUGAAGGAUAUUUAGGCUUUUAGAGGUUUCGAUUUCGUCUCAUUAUCUCGAAUUAGCGUUUGGUUUAUUCGAGAAUUUUGAACAUUUAGGGUUUUGCUGGUUUUGGUUAACCACAAUAUCUUAAUUUGGCUUCUGAGAAUGGGUUUUUCGGGCUUUUAAUUACGUUAGUUUCCCAUUAGUAUGCGUUUGUUUUGGGCCUUUUUCGGUUUGUGAAUUGACCUGGUGCUUCUACAGUUGGUGUUUGAUCUCUGAGAAAUUUUUGGGAGUUUCAGGGUUUUAGGCUAGUUUUGUUUGGCUUUUAAUUGUCUCUAAAUUGGCUUUCUUUGGGUGAAAGUUUUAUUAUAGUUUUGGUUUUAAUGGCGAAGGUGGGUGAAGAGGACGUUGAAUAUGAUAGCGAUCCUGAGGAGGAAAAGCGCAUGCUGGGGAUGAGAAGACGUGAAGCGGCAAGCGACGAUGAGGAAGG